RNAcentral lists this long non-coding RNA (297 nucleotides) under Numida meleagris (helmeted guineafowl). RNAcentral's name for it is "lncRNA (ENSNMEG00000020890.1)". Lineage: Eukaryota; Metazoa; Chordata; Aves; Galliformes; Numididae. The record is from RNAcentral.
CUAGAACGUACAUUCUUGGGUUGCUGCUACAUUUGACCACAUAGUUCAUGGAUGAAAAAUUACUUCAGAAAUCAGAACGGCAGCACAAGAAGUACGUGUGCACAGGUAUCUCGAUCAUCUGCAAGCCACCGUGACAGAGCUCAACAGCUUUGCCAGCGCUGCCACUGGUGAGAAGUGCACCCUCAACCCAGCGCCUGCAGGCUGUGCUGGAUUGAUUCAGAAAACAUUAACAAGAAAACAUUAAUGCUGUGGAGCACAACAUGAAUUAGAGGAGAUUGACAAUGAAAUUCACAACAU